UACAAUGGCAGAUACAAAGAGAAGCGACCUCGCGAGAGCAAGCGGAACUCAUAAAGUCUGUCGUAGUCCGGAUUGGAGUCUGCAACUCGACUCCAUGAAGUCGGAAUCGCUAGUAAUCGUAGAUCAGAAUGCUACGGUGAAUACGUUCCCGGGCCUUGUACACACCGCCCGUCACACCAUGGGAGUGGGUUGCAAAAGAAGUAGGUAGCUUAACCUUCGGGAGGGCGCUUACCACUUUGUGAUUCAUGACUGGGGUGAAGUCGUAACAAGGUAACCGUAGGGGAACCUGCGGUUGGAUCACCUCCUUA
RNAcentral lists this ribosomal RNA (308 nucleotides) under Proteus mirabilis. RNAcentral's name for it is "partial 16S ribosomal RNA". It matches the Rfam family "Bacterial small subunit ribosomal RNA", at positions 1226 to 1533 of the family's 1533-position model. The record is from RNAcentral. Lineage: Bacteria; Pseudomonadati; Pseudomonadota; Gammaproteobacteria; Enterobacterales; Morganellaceae.